AGACUCAUUUGUCGUUUCCUUGCUAAAGAAGGCUUUCUGUGUUGGAACUACUGCCCCAUGCCCUCUCCUUCCAUAUCUGCUCAACUUCAACAAAUGCCAGCCCCAUGGUCUCAGGGACAUACAUAAUCACAAACACAACUGCGAGCACUGCUAUGCCCGCGAGCAUCAGGAAAGUCGAACCUGUUCCUACUGCUUCGGCAAUUGAAAGGAAAGUUUGGGCUACUAUCAGAUUGGAGAUCCAGUUAACAGUAGCUGACAUGCCCCCGCAUAUUCCUCGAUAUUGUUCGGGAUAUAUCUCCGAGUUCACAGUCCAUGGAACAGGUCCCAUUCCUGGUGAGAAGGAAGCAAUAUACAGGGCUAACUGAUGGGAACCGUGGGAUAAAGAAAGUUGCAGCCAAAUCAAGAACUGCAGGAAGAUGGAGAGAUGCAACCAGCCAUCAUUAAUGAAGAUUUCAGAGACUUUGAAUCUGAUCUUUAAAGCCUGCUGAAUUUAAUAAAGUUAAUCUGGUCAUAGACCGAAUCUAGACAUUUUUCUUUAUUCAUGCAUUUUAAUGUUAUCUGGAGUUUUAUUGGCUUGUUACUAUAUUUAGUUGGCUGUAAUCACAAAAGAGAGGGACAUUGAUUUUACAAAAGUUAUUCAGUUUAAAAUUCCUGUUAAGUGUUGAAGCUACUCUUCGUCUUGUUGAACGAUAUCAACAAUCUUCGUCUUCGUGAACGAAAUCACGAUCCAGCUCACAAACGAGAUUUAUAUUUUCACAUUAAUAAUCGAUAAAUCGAUCCAUGCUCACAAAUAAUUAUAUUUUCACAUUGAUUCGAUGUAAAAUUUAUAUUUUACAUUUUUUUUUUUGCUUACGUUAGCAAUUUGAUGUUUUUUUUGGAUUCGAGGAAAUCUCAUCCCCGAAAAGCGUAUUUUAUGGAUCUAGGUAAGCGAGUAAAACCCGAGUUGUCCUAGGCUCUUAUAAAAGGUGCACGCCCUGACUCGAACUCGAGACCUGUUAUGCAAAUCUCAAGUUCUUUGUCAUCACACCUCGCCCCUUCGAGACAUUAGACAUUAGAUAUUAGCAAUGUGAUGUUCCUAACAAAUAAUUUGCUAAGAUAUCAAAAUCUUCAAAAAUAAAAAAAUUUCCCAAUAUUGUAAGUGCAUGAUUGAAGACAAAAUUCAUCAAGGUUAUAUUAUGGGUGCACGUAUCUACCCUGCCACGAUGAUAAUGCCUUUUACGCCUAAUAAUCUUGUGGGAAAAUUGAUCGACAUCAUACUAUUCAACAACAAAAUGUUGUUUUUCAUGUUUCAGCUUCUCAGCCGUUCGAAUGAAAUUUGAAGCCAAGCCUAGUCUGAGAGGGUCACCAUAUCCAUGUUAAAUGCGCUUAACUGCAAUCAAGUCUAUGAAUAAUAAAUUUGAUAGUUCAUUGGAUCCAUGAUUAAUAAGGCUCGACCCAUAACGAAGUUCAAGGUAUUAAGUUUAGUAUCUUGUUGGAUUCAUAUAUAUAUAUAUAUUUUUAUUAAUGUAAGUGUUUGGGUCAACUUGCACACAUCUUGACUAAUCCCAUAAGCCCUUAAGCUAACGAUUAUUUAAGUUUUUAGCGGUUAUAAAAUUUGUGGACUUGAACUGAUAAUUUUAAAAAAAUAAAUUUAAAAAAUAAUUUUUAAAAAAUAAAUUUAAAAUCUAAUUAAUUAAAUUAUAUUUUAUUUAUUUAGACUUGAUAUAAUACCAAAUCGAUAAGGGAUAUAUUUAACAACUCAACCGACUCAUCUCCACUUAAAUUUAACAACUCGUCAAAAUAAUAUAUUUGUUUUGACUCAAUAAGUAGGUGAAGCAAAAAAUGAAUGGAUUCGGCACCCUUGAAAUUUGAACGUUGUUGAAUUUCCAUCCAAUUCCUCCUCACCACAAAAUUGUGGUCGAAUUUGCACAUGUUGACUUGGUUUUCAAUUUUUUUGACUUGUUUUUUGCAUCAUUGUCCAAUCUAGAAUGCUCGUUUGGGAAUGUGUGUAGGCUUGUGACUUGUCUUUCUAAAUCAUAAUCAAUAAUUGAUAGAACAAUCUCACGCGUGUUAAUAAAAAUCUUAUGUGUAAUAUAUCAAAGUGUGAACCUUAACCGUCCAUUUUUGUUUAUAAUUGAUUUUUUUUCUAAAAAAUAAUAAAAAGAAAAGAGAUUGAAAUGGAGUAACAUGAUAUUAUUUCUUUCAUCAUGAAAACAUGAUUUGAAUCUUGUAUUGUGUAGUUCAUAUGACAACUAUCAUCGAAUCCUAUAAAAUAACCGAGGAAAAAUACAUCGAUGGGGAAGAAGCAUUUUUCCAAGUUUUAAGGCCUUGCAUGUCGGUGUAGGCUUUCACGCUUUUGAAUCUGUGGUUUCAUUGAACUUGCUAGCAAGUUUCGCUGCAAAUUCCGUAAUAUUAUUAUCAGAGCUUCCACCUUCACCCAUGGCUGCUUUGGCUAGUUUCUUCCAUUUCUCAGAAUUCCUUCUCAUCUCACUCCCUCUUUCACCUUCCAUGACUUCCCUUGUACACUUUUCUAACUCUUCUUUAGUGACAAUCCCCUUUUCAUUUGCCUUCACUCUAACUCCUACACGCCAAACAUCUGCUAUGUACUUCGCAUUUGUUGGUUGAUCAGUCCACUGUGGCACCGCCACCAUUGGCACUCCUAAGCUCAACGCUUCAAGCGUCGAGUUCCACCACAAUGAGUCAUGAAGCAACCAACAGACUUGUGAGCCAGAACCUCUAGCUGAGGGCUCCAGGUCACAAUCAGACCCUUCUCUGAGGACCUCUCCACAAAGUUACAUGGAAGUUUUUUCUCUUCCGAUUCUCUGACUACCCACAAGAAGUUGCAGUCGCUUCUCCUUAGGCCCCAAGCUAUUUCUGCCAUUUGCUCUUCUCCAAGAGCAGCCAAGGUUCCAAAUGACACGUAAACCACGGAGCCAGUUUCCUUUGAGUCUAGCCAUUCCAUGCAACCGUCGAGAGCAGGUUUGAAGAGGCUGAGGCCAUACCCUGUGUCAUCCUCUAGCUGCCUGUCCAAGUAAACUGAUGGAAUCAUGGGUCCUAUUGGCUUGAUUGACCUCUUGCUUGCCAGCCAGUUUACCACCUGAUACAAAUGAGCAAAAUCUUGAGUGCCAUAGAAUUUAAGGCAGCGUACUUUGCAAAUAUGGUAAUAUCUAUUAGUAUGAUCAGAGAAAAAAGAGUUCAAUAAGGAAUUCGAAGUAGUGCUGCUUUUCUUUAUGUAACUUCUUCAGGGUUACCUCCUCCUCCAGGGUGUUGAAACUGUUCACAAAGACCCAAUCAGCUCCCCUGAAAUUCAAAAACUGAUUGACUACUACGGUAAGUAUAGAUGAGUAUUCUGAUUCCAUGUCGUGCACGAAUGAUGGCAGUUCAUCAGCGUCUAGAGGUGGCAGCCCUGGAACUGAUACAGGAAACUUCUCUAGUGGAAUCUUUAGCUGCUCCUCAUGGAUUUGGUAGUAGACAGAGUUAACAGCACAUGACUGUGUGAAGAAGGAAGCUCCAAUGAGGCCAAGCUGUCUAGCUAUCUCUAGAACCCAAGGCAUGAAUGAGUCAUACACUAGGCAACUUACUGGAUGUCCAGAAGAGAUACCUAGCUCUACAACGAGUUGUGAAAGUUUUUGUGUCACUUUAGCUUGGAAUUGCUUUAGAAGGUCAGCUAUGGAACUGCUGCCUGCAUCAUAACAAUCAGAAACGGUCACCACUUUGACAGAGCCAAGCGAGGCCGGCGUCGAGAGCGUCUGGCUUGAGAAGAUGACCAGAGUUACUUGGAGUCCUUUGGAGGCCAGGCGCUUGGAGAACUGGAUCAUGGGGUUAAUGUGACCUUGAACAGGAUAAGGUAUGACCACUACAUGACAGAUUCUUUCUUCUUGCUUCUCCAUUUCUCUAAUUAACAAAACCAGUCUUUGUGCUUUUCUUUCUCGUGUAGGAGUACUCCUGCCUGCAUAUAUGUAAGCUUUUUACGUCCAAUUGUGUGGUCCGAACUGACGUGUUGAUCUUAAUGUUGUAUUUCCUAGAUUUUUUAUUUAUUUUUUUGAAUUUCACUUACGUGAGAGAAAGGAGUACAAUUUUCGUUAUAAAGAUGUUUGAAAUCCUUUAAGUUAAAUUUAAUUUAGAAUUUUUAAUAAAAUUUCAUGUUUUGUACCAUUUUAAGUAUCAAUAAUUAAAUCUAAAUAUAAUUUAUUUUUUAAAAAUAGUUAAAAAAAUAAAUAGAUGCCAACUCUUUUGAUUUACUAUUCUAAAAUAAAAAAAUUAAAUUGAAAAUUAACCUUCUCAAAACACCUAUUUAUCAUAUUUUAGAGAUAUUUAAAGAAAUAAAAUAAAUAAUAUAAAUUUAAUUUAUUUUUUUUAAAAUACAACAAUUUUUAUACGUAUUGGCUUACGUAUGCGAUUGGAAGGGAAGAUAGAUGGAAAGUCUACACUAAACUUCAACUACCAGUCAUGUUUUUAUGGUUUGAUUGAUGACAAUAUUGAUCCAAUAUCUGAAAUCAAAUAACAUGUCGCGUGUCAGGUGUAAUGGUAGUAAAAAACACAGUGCUGUCAAUUUCAUCAUUUCCAUGGUUUCCCUGAAACCUGCUACUCCAGGCUGGGAGGUAACAAUUACUUUUCAAUGAUUACUUUUCAAAAUAUUUUUUUAAAUAAAUUUACAUGAGAGUGGGUUGGAUUCAAAGCAUCUGCAUGCACAAGAUUUUACAGACAGAUUUAGUUAUAGCUCCAAUACAUACAGAUUGUUUUAUAAACCUACUAAGACUCAUUUGUCGUCUCCUUGCUCGAGAAGGCUUUCUGUGUUGGAACUACUGCCCCAUGCCCUCUCCUUCCAUAUCUGCUCAACUUCAACAAAUGCCAGCCCCAUGGUCUCAGGGACAUACAUAAUCACAAACACAACUGCGAGCACUGCUAUGCCCGCGAGCAUCAGGAAAGUCGAACCUGUUCCUACUGCUUCGGCAAUUGAAAGGAAAGUUUGGGCUACUAUCAGAUUGGAGAUCCAGUUAACAGUAGCUGACAUGCCCCCGCAUAUUCCUCGAUACUGUUCGGGAUAUAUCUCCGAGUUCACAGUCCAUGGAACAGGUCCCAUUCCUGGUGAGAAGCAAGCAAUAUACAGGGCUAACCCCAAAACUGCAAUCCACCCAUAGAGUUCAUUUGAAGAACCAGAUGACUUGCCAAAAAAUGCUCCGGCAAGAAUGAAAAGCGAUGCAAUUACUCC
This 5191-nucleotide long non-coding RNA is filed under the name Populus tremula. RNAcentral describes it as "long non-coding RNA (PTRE_LNC001432)". Lineage: Eukaryota; Viridiplantae; Streptophyta; Magnoliopsida; Malpighiales; Salicaceae. The record is from RNAcentral.